AGGUGCUGCAUGGCUGUCGUCAGCUCGUGUCGUGAGAUGUUGGGUUAAGUCCCGCAACGAGCGCAACCCUUGCCUUUAGUUGCCAUCAUUAAGUUGGGCACUCUAGAGGGACUGCCGGUGUCAAACCGGAGGAAGGUGGGGAUGACGUCAAGUCCUCAUGGCCUUUAUGACCAGGGCUACACACGUACUACAAUGGCAUGUACAAAGGGCAGCCACUUCGCAAGAAGGAGCGAAUCCUUAAAACAUGUCUCAGUCCGGAUUGGAGUCUGCAACUCGACUCCAUGAAGUUGGAAUCGCUAGUAAUCGUAGAUCAGCAUGCUACGGUGAAUACGUUCCCGGGCCUUGUACACACCGCCCGUCACACCACGGGAGUUGGUUGUACCAGAAGUAGUUGAGCGAACUCUUCGGAGACGCAGGCUACCAAGGUAUGAUCGGUAACUGGGGUGAAGUCGUAACAAGGUA
RNAcentral lists this ribosomal RNA (462 nucleotides) under uncultured bacterium. Its description in RNAcentral is "bacterial SSU rRNA". It matches the Rfam family "Bacterial small subunit ribosomal RNA", at positions 1036 to 1498 of the family's 1533-position model. The record is from RNAcentral.